UCCUGGUUAACCCAGGCAGUCUCAUUAGAGUUCCCAGCAUCACCUGUUGGCAACUAAUGAUAAGGGUUGCGCUCGUUGCGGGACUUAACCCAACACCUCACGGCACGAGCUGACGACAGCCAUGCAGCACCUGUGCAGAGGCCCCGAAGGGAGGCGCCAUCUCUGGCGAUGUCCUCUGCAUGUCAAGCCUGGGUAAGGUUCUUCGCGUUGCAUCGAAUUAAACCACAUGCUCCACUGCUUGUGCGGGUCCCCGUCAAUUCUUUUGAGUUUCAGCCUUGCGACUGUACUUCCCAGGCGGUAUACUUAUCGCGUUAGCUACGGCACAGCCGGGGUUGAGUCCAGCUACACCAAGUAUACAUCGUUUACGGCAAGGACUAC
This 378-nucleotide unclassified non-coding RNA is filed under the name uncultured Parachlamydiaceae bacterium. RNAcentral describes it as "contains 16S-23S intergenic spacer region". The record is from RNAcentral. Lineage: Bacteria; Pseudomonadati; Chlamydiota; Chlamydiia; Parachlamydiales; Parachlamydiaceae.